Molecule: non-coding RNA, 84 nt
Organism: Bombyx mori (domestic silkworm)
Lineage: Eukaryota; Metazoa; Arthropoda; Insecta; Lepidoptera; Bombycidae
Source: Rfam
UUAACUCAAAUUUGCAUGGAGCUGGAACGUUUGCUUACGUUUGCCGCUAGGGGCGCUGUUCCAACUGCAUACAAAUAUGAGUUA